GGUAUGCGGCGAUAAUCAGGCAAUAGGAGGCACCUGUUGGCGAUCUGAGCAGGUGAUUCAGGGUUUUGUCUCCUCCACUAUGGAUUGGCACGCUGCACUUAGCAUGGUCAUCAUCCUGCUGAUGUCAGUAAAUUAGGUUUGGCUGUAUGUGGGGUGUUCCACCAUUGGAUUUGGCGUUAGGAGCAGUUACCUGCGGUAAACUUACUAGGACUGUGGAUGUUCUUUGGGGAUCUGUGUCUAACUCCUCUGGUGUGAGUACAUGAUGACAUGGUGCAGCACCAGAGAGUCGGCAAAGAAAGAGCCUGAGGAGCCAAGAGGAAGAAUGAAAAGUGAAGAAAAUUACAGCCGCAGACUAUAAGACUCACCAAGCAACAUUUAACUGUGACUGGCAUCGAAAGUCACACAGAGAUCCAACAAAAUAACAGAAAUAAAAACUGAUGAAAUGUUUGAAUACGGGCACUAUUUGACAGUCAGAGUGAAACAGAAAGGC
This is a long non-coding RNA of Larimichthys crocea (large yellow croaker), 490 nucleotides long. RefSeq lists it as uncharacterized. The transcript is spliced from 3 exons. NCBI's taxonomy places the organism in Eukaryota, Metazoa, Chordata, Actinopteri, Sciaenidae. The record is from RefSeq and is a predicted model, not a curated record.